UGGGUGUUUCCUAAAGGUGUUUUAGUCU
RNAcentral lists this non-coding RNA (28 nucleotides) under Rattus norvegicus (Norway rat). Lineage: Eukaryota; Metazoa; Chordata; Mammalia; Rodentia; Muridae. The record is from RNAcentral.